This 1263-nucleotide long non-coding RNA is filed under the name Homo sapiens (human). RNAcentral describes it as "HSALNT0292521". The record is from RNAcentral. Lineage: Eukaryota; Metazoa; Chordata; Mammalia; Primates; Hominidae.
GAAAGUGAAGGCCUGACAACUGGAGAGGGUGGCUUGGGGGAAUGAAGAGGCCACAGGCCUGGGCCAGGAGCUCAGUUCUGCCUCCAACUCUUACCACAGGCCAGUUGCUCUCAACUGUGACAAGUCACUUACCCUUCAGAGCCUCUCUUUCUGCUGCUGUAAACCAAGGAGGGCUUGAAUGCCCUGUGCCCAUCCUGCUGUGAUUCAGGAGUCUCGCAGAAGACAUCAGAAUGCCUUUCUCUGAGUCACAGUCUGUAUCUUCUAGAAAAGGCUGUCCAUCUUCACCCCAAGCCCACUGGCUCCUGAGAUACGACAUCCAGACCCAGUGCAGCUGGACCUGGCCCAGGAAGAUCAUGCGGUUUCUGGGAAGCACUGGAGAAGGAAAAGGCUGAAGAAAGGAAGACCGGAAAAGAAAUACAAGUCCUUCCGCCUUGGCAAAGAUGAUAGUACCGUUCCCUUCAGUGUUCCGGUUCUGCUCUAUUGGAUAAGUUCCGGUUUGACUAUGACUACGUGAAAAUGUGGAACCAGACCUUCACCCCACAUUCCAGCUCCAGCUCUACCACAGAGGAAGUGCAAUAUCACCUUAGUUAUUCAACACAUUAUGCUCCUCGUGAUACAACCAGAGUUCACAUCAGCAAUCUUGGCAGCUCUCACCACGCUGCUGACUCACGACUCUCUCAUGUCCCAAUUUCCUGUCCAUUGUUCUUUCCUCUACUUGGCCUGAUUUCUAAAGGCCUCUCUUGGUUGCAUUAAGCGGGAUUCCUGAGGGAUUCCCUUGGCAGUUACCUUGGGGGAGCUCUUAGGUUUGGGGCUGAUCCAUGUCCUCUAAAUGUAGGACUUCAAAGCUCCCAAAGAUAGGCAGGCCCAGUGGGAAGCUGGGAAAUGCUCUCUGACCCCUCUGGGAGGGCUGGCAGUCAGAGGGCCUUUUGGAAAGAGUCAGACCUGAUCCAUAAGUCCCUGGAAAACACCCUGCCCAGGGAGCAAAUGCCACUGUGGCCUUGACUGAGGCUUCAGAAGAGUUUGGGAGCUGCAAUUCAUCCACACACGCAUUCAUUUUCAAGUAGUGGUUUGCAGUUCAGGCUUUGGAGCCACAUAAGCCUGGCUUCAAAGCCACUUUCCAGCUUUGUAGGAAGUCUCUACAUUUUUAAACCUCCAUUUUUUUUUCCUGUAAAACUGGGGUCUUCAUGGUACUUAACUUCAUCGUGAUGUUGAGAGAAUGAAAAGAAAAAGGAUAAAUAAAUGGCUUAGCCUCGUGCCUUGGCA